AGAGUUUGAUCCUGGCUCAGAUUGAACGCUGGCGGCAGGCCUAACACAUGCAAGUCGGACGGUAGCACAGAGAGCUUGCUCUCGGGUGACGAGUGGCGGACGGGUGAGUAAUGUCUGGGGAUCUGCCCGAUAGAGGGGGAUAACCACUGGAAACGGUGGCUAAUACCGCAUAACGUCGCAAGACCAAAGAGGGGGACCUUCGGGCCUCUCACUAUCGGAUGAACCCAGAUGGGAUUAGCUAGUAGGCGGGGUAAUGGCCCACCUAGGCGACGAUCCCUAGCUGGUCUGAGAGGAUGACCAGCCACACUGGAACUGAGACACGGUCCAGACUCCUACGGGAGGCAGCAGUGGGGAAUAUUGCACAAUGGGCGCAAGCCUGAUGCAGCCAUGCCGCGUGUAUGAAGAAGGCCUUCGGGUUGUAAAGUACUUUCAGCGGGGAGGAAGGCGAUGGGGUUAAUAACCUUAUCGAUUGACGUUACCCGCAGAAGAAGCACCGGCUAACUCCGUGCCAGCAGCCGCGGUAAUACGGAGGGUGCAAGCGUUAAUCGGAAUUACUGGGCGUAAAGCGCACGCAGGCGGUCUGUUAAGUCAGAUGUGAAAUCCCCGGGCUUAACCUGGGAACUGCAUUUGAAACUGGCAGGCUUGAGUCUUGUAGAGGGGGGUAGAAUUCCAGGUGUAGCGGUGAAAUGCGUAGAGAUCUGGAGGAAUACCGGUGGCGAAGGCGGCCCCCUGGACAAGACUGACGCUCAGGUGCNAAAGCGUGGGGA
This 767-nucleotide ribosomal RNA is filed under the name Pantoea sp. pfB25. RNAcentral's name for it is "bacterial SSU rRNA". It matches the Rfam family "Bacterial small subunit ribosomal RNA", at positions 8 to 767 of the family's 1533-position model. The record is from RNAcentral. Lineage: Bacteria; Pseudomonadati; Pseudomonadota; Gammaproteobacteria; Enterobacterales; Erwiniaceae.